CUCAAGUCAUCAGGUCACAGGCAUAUUUCUCUGGUCCUCCCCUAACAGAUUACAAUCCCAAAUGAGAGAGGGGGUCGUCUCUAGUCUUCACCACAGAAGGCAGUGCAACACUGACCACAGAAGACGUAAGCGAGGCUUGAACCAAUGGAAACACAAAGUGGCUGGCCAACCCAGUGGAGGUGGCAGCUGUGCUUGGCAGUGUGAGGGAGAGGGACACUUUUUAGGAAAAUGGUACAGCCAUCAAAGGAAGCUGGAGUGCCUGGGAGAGUUUAAGAUAAGUGCAAUAACCGAAGAAGGAGCACCUGGUAAAAAUGGAAGUGGUGACAUAGAGUGCUCAUCUCAGGAAGUAGCUUCUAGAGGAACUCAACUGCAGUGGGUACAAUUUUGCUUAAAGGAUAGAAGAGAGACCAGAUGACCUGAAAAACACCAUGUUCUGCUCAGGUCUCUACUGUCCAUAUCACUCAAGGCCAACUGAGAACAGUGGAGAGGUAACCCCCACUGAAGUCUAUUUAAAUCCUGAUCAUCCUCUCCACUCCCAGCAUUUUUCUGCUUUCCCAGGAUACUCUUUCUGGUGAUUUCCCACCAUCAUACAAUACUAAAACUGAAAGCUGAAUGAUGCUGUUAGAAAUGUGACAAGGGAAUUUCUAAAGAGGAAAAAUAAAAAGCAAAUCAUGCUUCCCCCUCUUUGUAAC
RNAcentral lists this long non-coding RNA (692 nucleotides) under Felis catus (domestic cat). RNAcentral describes it as "lncRNA (ENSFCAG00000048680.1)". The record is from RNAcentral. Lineage: Eukaryota; Metazoa; Chordata; Mammalia; Carnivora; Felidae.